This 874-nucleotide ribosomal RNA is filed under the name uncultured archaeon. RNAcentral's name for it is "bacterial SSU rRNA". It matches the Rfam family "Archaeal small subunit ribosomal RNA", at positions 5 to 879 of the family's 1478-position model. The record is from RNAcentral.
CGGUUGAUCCUGCCGGAGGUUACUGCUAUCGGAGUUCGAUUAAGCCAUGCGAGUCUAAAGGUUUCUUCGGAAGNNUGGCGGACUGCUCAGUAACACGUGGAUAACNUACCCUUGGGACUGGAAUAACCCCGGGAAACUGGGGAUAAUACCGGAUAGAUCAGGGAUGCUGGAAUGCACCUUGAUCCAAAGCUCCGGCGCCCAAGGAUGGGUCUGCGGCCUAUCAGGUUGUAGUGGGUGUAACGUACNUACUAGCCGACGACGGGUACGGGUUGUGAGAGCAAGAGCCCGGAGAUGGAUUCUGAGACACGAAUCCAGGCCCUACGGGGUGCAGCAGGCGCGAAACCUUUACAAUGUGCGAAAGCAUGAUAAGGGAACUCCGAGUGCCAGUAUCUAAUACUGGCUGUCCUUGUGCCUAAACCGCACAAGAUAGCAAGGGCCGGGUAAGACCGGUGCCAGCCGCCGCGGUAACACCGGCGGCCCGAGUGGUAGCCGCUAUUAUUGGGUCUAAAGGGUCCGUAGCCGGUUCGAUAAGUCCUCUGGGAAAUCUGGUUGCUUAACAAUCAGACUGCCAAGGGAUACUGUUGAACUUGAGACCGGGAGAGGUAAGAGGUACUUCAGGGGUAGGAGUGAAAUCUUGUAAUCCCUGGGGGACCAUCUGUGGCGAAGGCGUCUUACCAGAACGGGUCUGACGGUGAGGGACGAAAGCUGGGGGCGCAAACCGGAUUAGAUACCCGGGUAGUCCCAGCCGUAAACGAUGCUCGCUAUGUGUCAGGUACGGUGUGACCGUAUCUGGUACCGUAGGGAAGCCGUGAAGCGAGCCACCUGGGAAGUACGGUCGCAAGACUGAAACUUAAAGGAAUUGGCGGGGGAGCAC